UUCCCAAGCUAGGGAGGGAUAUAACAGG
This 28-nucleotide small RNA is filed under the name Bombyx mori (domestic silkworm). Its description in RNAcentral is "ovarian small RNA-37154". The record is from RNAcentral. Lineage: Eukaryota; Metazoa; Arthropoda; Insecta; Lepidoptera; Bombycidae.